GAGGGUAUAGCUCAAGUGUUAGAGUGCCUGCUUAGCAAGCAUGAGGUCCUGGGUUCAAUCCCCAGUACCUCCU
Transfer RNA from Camelus ferus (Wild Bactrian camel), 73 nucleotides. It matches the Rfam family "tRNA". From Rfam's summary of the family: Transfer RNA (tRNA) molecules are approximately 80 nucleotides in length. Their secondary structure includes four short double-helical elements and three loops (D, anti-codon, and T loops). NCBI's taxonomy places the organism in Eukaryota, Metazoa, Chordata, Mammalia, Artiodactyla, Camelidae. The record is from Rfam.